AAUCCGUCGACUUUAGAAAUCGUGAGGG
This 28-nucleotide transfer RNA is filed under the name Impatiens parasitica. Its description in RNAcentral is "partial tRNA-Leu". RNAcentral also lists the same sequence under 1 other name. The record is from RNAcentral. Lineage: Eukaryota; Viridiplantae; Streptophyta; Magnoliopsida; Ericales; Balsaminaceae.